Molecule: ribosomal RNA, 496 nt
Filed under: uncultured bacterium
Lineage: Bacteria
Description: partial 16S ribosomal RNA
Rfam family: Bacterial small subunit ribosomal RNA
Source: RNAcentral
GAUGAACGCUGGCGGCGUGCCUAAUACAUGCAAGUCGAGCGAACGGACGAGAAGCUUGCUUCUCUGAUGUUAGCGGCGGACGGGUGAGCAACACGUGGAUAACCUACCUAUAAGACUGGGAUAACUUCGGGAAACCGGAGCUAAUACCGGAUAAUAUUUUGAACCGCAUGGUUCAAAAGUGAAAGACGGUCUUGCUGUCACUUAUAGAUGGAUCCGCGCUGCAUUAGCUAGUUGGUAGGUAACGGCUUACCAAGGCAACGAUGCAUAGCCGACCUGAGAGGGUGAUCGGCCACACUGGAACUGAGACACGGUCCAGACUCCUACGGGAGGCAGCAGUAGGGAAUCUUCCGCAAUGGGCGAAAGCCUGACGGAGCAACGCCGCGUGAGUGAUGAAGGUCUUCGGAUCGUAAAACUCUGUUAUUAGGGAAGAACAUAUGUGUAAGUAACUGUGCACAUCUUGACGGUACCUAAUCAGAAAGCCACGGCUAACUACGUG